GCUCGCCGUGCCAGGGCAGGGCAGCACUCGCGGCUGCUCCGCGGCGCAGCGGCACCGGCGCCCCGGCCAUGCGCUGAUGGGUACCAUGGACUUUAAGACAGAUGCCAGUGCAGUCACCAUCAAUCUGCUGCUUAUUGUGCGCCCCGAGGAGGCGGCGAGCAAGGAAAAAGGGCAGCGAGAGGGGCAGACGGAAAGCGGCCGAGGCGCAGGUUCCAAGGGUGAUGGCAAUGGAAACAGCAGAUCACAGGCACCUCAGGGCACAGGCCUGAACGGAACCCAAGUGACAGUAGAGAUUCACCAUGAGGACACCACCCCCCCGCUCAUCAAGAGACUCUCCCUGGGAAAAGGUACAGCCCAGAUUUAAGCCUGGCAGAGGCUCAGCCCGUCC
This 388-nucleotide long non-coding RNA is filed under the name Zonotrichia albicollis (white-throated sparrow). RNAcentral describes it as "lncRNA (ENSZALG00000008605.1)". The record is from RNAcentral. Lineage: Eukaryota; Metazoa; Chordata; Aves; Passeriformes; Passerellidae.